RNAcentral lists this transfer RNA (73 nucleotides) under Pteropus alecto (black flying fox). It matches the Rfam family "tRNA". From Rfam's summary of the family: Transfer RNA (tRNA) molecules are approximately 80 nucleotides in length. Their secondary structure includes four short double-helical elements and three loops (D, anti-codon, and T loops). Lineage: Eukaryota; Metazoa; Chordata; Mammalia; Chiroptera; Pteropodidae. The record is from Rfam by way of RNAcentral.
GGUUCCAUAGUGUAGUGGUUAGCACGUCUGCUUUACACACAGAAGGUCCUGGGUUCGCUCCCCAGCAGAGCCA